GAACCGGAGCUAAUACCGGAUAAUAUAUUGAACCGCAUGGUUCAAUAGUGAAAGACGGUUUUGCUGUCACUUAUAGAUGGAUCCGCGCCGCAUUAGCUAGUUGGUAAGGUAACGGCUUACCAAGGCAACGAUGCGUAGCCGACCUGAGAGGGUGAUCGGCCACACUGGAACUGAGACGCGGUCCAG
Molecule: ribosomal RNA, 186 nt
Filed under: uncultured Staphylococcus sp.
Lineage: Bacteria; Bacillati; Bacillota; Bacilli; Caryophanales; Staphylococcaceae
Description: partial 16S ribosomal RNA
Rfam family: Bacterial small subunit ribosomal RNA
Source: RNAcentral